Non-coding RNA from Picea glauca (white spruce), 121 nucleotides. The record is from Rfam. NCBI's taxonomy places the organism in Eukaryota, Viridiplantae, Streptophyta, Pinopsida, Pinales, Pinaceae.
ACAUGCUUACAACAUAGCAUCAAUGCAUCGGAUUCCAUUAGAACUUUGCAAUUAAGUGUGCUUAGGCUAGAGUAGUACUGGGAUGGGUGACCACCCGGGAAGUCCUAGUGUUUUACAUGUC